GACACGAUGGCCGAGUGGUUAAGGCGUUAGACUUGAAAUCUAAUGGGUUCGCCCGCGUAGGUUCAAAUCCUGCUCGUGUCG
This 81-nucleotide transfer RNA is filed under the name Exophiala spinifera. RNAcentral's name for it is "tRNA-Ser (TGA) (tRNA-Ser-TGA-1-1)". It matches the Rfam family "tRNA". From Rfam's summary of the family: Transfer RNA (tRNA) molecules are approximately 80 nucleotides in length. RNAcentral also lists the same sequence under 1 other name. Lineage: Eukaryota; Fungi; Ascomycota; Eurotiomycetes; Chaetothyriales; Herpotrichiellaceae. The record is from RNAcentral.